This 140-nucleotide small RNA is filed under the name Olea europaea subsp. europaea. Lineage: Eukaryota; Viridiplantae; Streptophyta; Magnoliopsida; Lamiales; Oleaceae. The record is from RNAcentral.
UAUACAGGCCUGCCUGUUCAAAGCUUGAGGGUUGGAUGAAAGCUCGAGCCUUAUGGUUAGAGAGGAGGGCAAUGGGUCAGGCUGGCUUCACAGAGCUGCAAGAACUUCUCGCUCCUGACAGUGGAAGGACAACGGGCCGG